UGGGGAAUAUUGCACAAUGGGCGCAAGCCUGAUGCAGCCAUGCCGCGUGUGUGAAGAAGGCCUUCGGGUUGUAAAGCACUUUCAGCGGGGAGGAAGGCGUUAAGGUUAAUAACCUUGGCGAUUGACGUUACCCGCAGAAGAAGCACCGGCUAACUCCGUGCCAGCAGCCGCGGUAAUACGGAGGGUGCAAGCGUUAAUCGGAAUUACUGGGCGUAAAGCGCACGCAGGCGGUCUGUCAAGUCGGAUGUGAAAUCCCCGGGCUCAACCUGGGAAAUGCAUUCGAAACUGGCAGGCUAGAGUAUUGUAGAGGGGGGUAGAAUUCCAGGUGUAGCGGUGAAAUGCGUAGAGAUCUGGAGGAAUACCGGUGGCGAAGGCGGCCCCCUGGACAAAGACUGACGCUCAGGUGCGAAAGCGUGGGGAGCAAACAUG
This 429-nucleotide ribosomal RNA is filed under the name Chloroflexota bacterium. Its description in RNAcentral is "Chloroflexi bacterium partial 16S ribosomal RNA". It matches the Rfam family "Bacterial small subunit ribosomal RNA", at positions 355 to 776 of the family's 1533-position model. The record is from RNAcentral. Lineage: Bacteria; Bacillati; Chloroflexota.